This 253-nucleotide ribosomal RNA is filed under the name uncultured bacterium. RNAcentral's name for it is "partial 16S ribosomal RNA". It matches the Rfam family "Bacterial small subunit ribosomal RNA", at positions 524 to 776 of the family's 1533-position model. The record is from RNAcentral.
UACGUAGGAGGCGAGCGUUGUCCGGAGUUACUGGGCGUAAAGGGUGCGUAGGCGGCUGCGCGCGUGGAGGGUGAAAUCUCUCGGCUUACCCGGGAGGGGGCUUUCCAGACGGCGUGGCUUGAGGGACGGAGAGGGGCGUGGAAUUCCGGGUGUAGCGGUGGAAUGCGUAGAGAUCCGGAAGAACACCGGUGGCGAAGGCGGCCUGCUGGGCAGUAGCUGACGCUGAGGCGCGACAGCGUGGGGAGCAAACAGG